UAGCUAAGUGACUUACUAGUGGAUUAACCACAUCUCAUGUAGAGUUUGCUCUCUGGACCUCUAUGUAUUUCUACUUGAGGUAGUCGUAUAUACUGUUGCUUUAUGUAUUUGAUUAUCUGGUGAGAUCUAGGCUCCUUAGCAAGGGCUAUGGUGUCAUUGUCUUUGCAGUAUAGUAUCAUGACAUCUAAUGGCAUGACAUCCAGUUCUGCAACUAUCAUUAGAACCAAAAUGCAUCCUACACAUCUACAAUGUACUCAGCUUCCAUCGAUC
Molecule: long non-coding RNA, 270 nt
Filed under: Elaeis guineensis (African oil palm)
Lineage: Eukaryota; Viridiplantae; Streptophyta; Magnoliopsida; Arecales; Arecaceae
Description: long non-coding RNA (EGUI_LNC060758)
Source: RNAcentral